This is a non-coding RNA of Phalacrocorax carbo (great cormorant), 5231 nucleotides long. NCBI's taxonomy places the organism in Eukaryota, Metazoa, Chordata, Aves, Suliformes, Phalacrocoracidae. The record is from RefSeq and is a predicted model, not a curated record.
GGGCGCCGCGCGCAGGCGCCAGAGCACGGGGCCGGUGCCGCCGCCGCGGGGAGGAUGAACUGGCUGUUCCCCCUCACCAAGGGCGGCGGCUCCGCCGCGCCCCUGCCCGCCCGUACCAGUCUCCAGCAGCAGAAGCAGCGGCAGAUCGAGUCCCUGCGCGGCGCCCACGCCUCCAUUGCAGAAAUUCAGAAAGAUGUGGAGUAUCGACUGCCAUUCACUGUAAACAACCUGACAAUUAAUAUUAACAUCUUGCUUCCACCACAGUUUCCUCAGGAAAAACCAGUCAUCAGUGUUUUCCCACCUGUGAGACAUCAUUUAAUGGACAAGCAGGGAGUAUAUGUGACUGGUCCAUUAAUAAGUAAUUUUACAAUGCAUUCAGAUCUUGGAAAAAUUAUUCAAAGUUUACUGGAUGAGUUUUGGAAGAAUCCUCCAGUUCUGGCUCCUAGCUCAACAUCAUUUCCAUACCUUUUCAACAAACCAGCUGGAAUGCCUCCUUAUGCUCCUCAGGGGUUUCCAUUUCUUCCUCCAUACCCACCUCAAGAAACAAAUAGAACAAUGGCGGCCGUGCCCGUUGCUGAAUCAGUUUCUUCAAGCUACACUACAGACAAGCCUGCUGCUCCCUCUUACAGCUUGAUUGCUGAUCUGCCACUGCCUGUUCCAACUGCAGAAGCAGUGCUUCAGGUUCGCCAGAAUGGAUUUACUUACAAGAUGCCUGACGUUCCUGAUACGUUUCCAGAACUCUCAGAACUAAGUAUAUCGCAGCUGACCAAUAUGAAUGAGCAAGAGGAAGUGUUACUGGAACAGUUUGUGACUCUACCACAACUGAAGCAAGUCAUUACUGAUAGAGAUGAGUUAGUGAAAAGCAUUGAAGAGCUGGCAAAAAAAAACUUGUUGCUGGAGCCUAGUCUCGAGGCAAAAAGACAGACAGUGUUGGAUAAAUAUGAGCAGCUCACACAGAUGAAAGCAGCCUUUGAAAAAAAGAUGCAAAGACAGCAUGAACUUAGUGAGAGUUGCAGUCCAAGUGCUCUGCAAGCCAGACUUAAAGUAGCUGCUCAUGAAGCUGAAGAAGAAUCUGACAUUAUUGCAGAAGACUUCUUGGAAGGCAAAACAGAAAUAGAUGACUUUCUUAGUAGUUUCAUGGAAAAGAGAACGCUUUGCCACUGUAGACGAGCCAAAGAAGAAAAACUUCAACAGGCAAUAGCAAUGCACAGCCAAUUUCAUGCUCCGCUAUAGAAAUUGUUACCUGGAAAUGGAUUUGUUGCAAUGCUGAGUGUUCUACCAAUGCUUUCUGUGGAAAUCAAACUUCCUGCAAACUACACCUGCCAAGAGAGCGAGAGAAAAACCCAAUAAAGCACACUUUUUAAUAACUAUUAUUUGCAAAUAAGCAUUUCAUCUUAUGUGGUUGUAUUUAUAGAAGAGAUUGUAUACAGAGUUGGGAUGGGUUUUGUACAAAUUAGAAUGUCUCUUUAUAUUCUCAUUGUACUCAAGAAUCCUUCUAUUGCAAUCUUUGCACUAAUUUCUUGUAUUUAUUGUUGAUAGUUCUUAUUAUAUUUAAGUUCCUGCUGCUAUAUGCCAUUCUUCAGAGAUUAAAUAUCUAAACAUGUAAUUUUGACUAGCUUUUUACAUUUUUAUAAAAACAUAAUUCAUAUCUUUUUGUAUUUUGAACUUUAAACAUAGAUUUGGCUUGAUCUGUGAAGAGUUUGAGAUAAAUGGGGAUAGGGCUUUGGAAACAGAAGUGCAUCAUUUGAGAUUGUCAGUGGAUUCAUAAGCUGUCUUUUCUUGAAGCCAAAAUCUUUAAGAACAAGUUUUUUACUUUUAAGUAAUAAUACAAAACUGAGUAUAGCCUGUAUGGUGUUUUGGAUAAGUAGAUUUGGAUUAAGCAAAGGAUAUGUUGGGAAAAAUUUUAUUGGAAUCGAAAUAACGUAAAUGAUUUCUGCAUAGAUGUGGUAUGUUGCUCAGUAGCACCAAUGCACUUGAUUUCAGGACUGGCUUGGUACCUACCACUGUAAUUAAACACAAUUUUAAUCUAACAAUUUUAUUUUCAUAAUUGUUUUUACUUAAAGGAAAAAUAAUCAGGUCACCUCCCGGUUUCUGUUUUAUGCAAUAUGAAUACAUUCAUCAUGUGAGGAGCUCAAAAGCACUUUACAAAGACUAGUUCUGAAGUUCUUUGUGAAGUAGCAGUUAUUUUUUCCUAAUUUUAAGGAGCAAAGAGACUGAUUUGGCUGGAGUUGCAUAGUGUAUUAUGUUAAGGCCAGUGAUAGAAUUUGGAAGCGAGACUUAAUUCUGCCCUUUAAUCACUAAAUCUUGCCUCUGGUGAGCUGAUCUUUUUUAGGAUGGGGGUAUAUAUCUGGUUAAAUGGAUGGGACCACAUGCAGUAUUCUCUAGGAGAAAAAUACAACCCCUAAAUACAUGCAUUUAUGCUCUCUUGCUCUUGCAAAAAGACACAUUCUUUUUCUUAAUCUUACCAGUCUAUUAGGUUUUCAUGGAGAAAGUCAAGUUCCAGAAGAACAGAAGGUAUUGUACAGUUCUUAGAGAUAAAUAAGAUAAAGCACUGAUUAAGUAAUCUACCAGGAAUCCUGCUUCUUUCUUGUCAGGAGGCAGUCUGGAAAUAAACCUCUUAGCCAAGACACUGCCUCUGCGUUACCUAGAUAGGGUCACAGGACAUCACAGAUUCAAGUCUCAGACUAAAGCACCUCAGUCCAAGUGAGUUCUCUUCUGUAUCACUAAUCUUCAGUCAGUCCUAAACUCAAUGCUUUUUGAGCAAAAUGCAAUAAGGUAUUUCUUCUGAGUUGGAGAAAAGUAAGUAAAUUUGGAGUUAAGAAAAUCACGUAAGUGCAAGAAGUCUGUUCCACAGGCUAGUGAAUCUUCAAAUGGGGCUUUAGUCUCAGCCCUGUCAUACUUUACAGUUCUGUGGUUGUCUGUCUUAACUACUGCCUUUCAGGGUGAGUAAACUAUUCACUGGUAUUUGGGAUUUUUCUUUGUAAAGCUGGUCCAGAUUCUGAGAUUACAUAUACCAAGCAAAUAGAACUAUGGUCCAAAUCAAAGAUGAUAGUUAGGUGCCUGAAAAAAUAAACAGGUUGUAAGUGCCAUGGUUAAGCAAUAAUUUUAGAGUAUUUUCUUGAAAAAAAAAAAAAAAAAAACAUUUCUACUGACAGUGCAUAAUACUGCUUCUGUAUUGAUAUAGCACUUCUGCUAAUGUGCUAACUAAAGCCCUAACGAAAAAUGAGAUCGCAUAGUUUUCCCAGUGGUUCUGAACUUGGGUGUCUGAGUAGUGGGAUUUCUGCAGCCCUGGAGGAGAGUUAGAUUUAAGUCAUCAGUGUUACCUUCUUGGCAAACUCAGUCUAUUUUUGUGCUGAGUGUACAGGUUUUUUUGGAUCUUUCUCUGAGUAUCUAGUUAACGAGCUUAAAGCCUAGACAUACAAUCCUGUACAGGGCUGCUUUUUUUUGUUGUUUCUUCCUUGUAAGCUGAGAAAGGAACAACUGACCAAACACCCAGUGUUCUUCCCAAGCUGGGCUAGUAUCUUCUUUCUUUGUUUUUGUAACGGCAUGGAAUGACAGACUUCUGCCCUCAUCUGCCUCCUCCUGUCAAAUGUUAGGUAGUGAAUUAUGGUGCUGUACUGUGACUGAACUCUCUAGCCGGGUCACCUUCAGGGGAUUUGCUUCCCAAGCUAGUAUAAGUUCUCAACACUUCAGCUUUUCCCCUUAAGUUAUUUUUUGUGAGCAAAUUUACAAAUUCAGGACUUCUCCAUGGAAUCCUUCUGAUGAUAAUGGAGGAGAAUCUAGAAGGAAACAUCGCUGCUCAAUGCAAGUUCUUAGUACAGUGUUUCUUGUUCAGUUUAAGGUCUUUUCUCCCUUUUUAGUCUCUCUCACAUUUUUGUUCCUAUUCUUAGGAUUUGUUUCCCCUAUUUAUUAGCCCCUUCUGCACUUGCAAAUCCAUACUCUAGAAAAGAAGCACAGAAGACACUGUAUUCAACUGUACUGGGUUAGCUACAGGUAGCUGGCCAGCCUGUUUCUGGCCCUUAAAGGACAAGCCAACCUGCUGCUGGUUUGGGUUUUUUUCUUUUCUUUUAGUCCUACACUGGUUGUGUCAAUGCAAACAUUUUUCUUAUAGGUAAUCUUCAUACUUUCAGCAGAAGACUUAGUAGAACACUGGUAACUCUGUCCAAGUUAGGUUCUUUGGCUUGUAGCACGCUGGUAGUUCACUGUUAAGCACACCCCUUUCCUUAUUUUGCUGAAAUGUGGCAUGUAGGUGUAAAUCCAGCUUUAAAAAAUUACCUGUGAAGAGUAAGAGAACGGCAGAUACUGUUAGAUGCAUACGCUAAAAUCUUUUGAAAUGUGUCAAGUGAGCUCUUAAGCAAUCUGGAAUAAUAGGCUACACAGAGUGACUUGUUUCUGGAGAUCCUUGUACUGUGUCAUGCUCAUGGUGAGAAGUGGAGAAGUGAAAUGAAUGAGCAAGAUGCAAGAGUAAGGAGGUGGCUUGACUCUGGUGUUGCAGUAGUUUGGGGGUGUGUGAGGGUGCAUUCCAUAUUGAAACAGCUAAUUGAGUCUGGGUUUUGCCUGAUUUUAACAUCUGAUCUUACUGCUAAAUGUUUUCUAUAGCUGAAUUUCGGCCUUUUGGUUCUCCCUGAGUCAAGUGACUAUUUAAAUACAGUACUGAAUUCUCCAUAUAGCAACUGUAACUCAUGUUAUGGCAGACCAGAGAAAUUAUUUUAAAAUGUAAAUUUGAAAUUAAGUAGGUUUCAUUUUAGGGUGAUCUUGUAUACAGCUGGUAUUAAUGGUACAUUCUGCUGGGGCUUAAAGUUUUUCUGUAUUUCACGGUGCAUUUGACAUGCUAAUCUUUUUGAAAGACAGGAUUGUCAGAUACAUACAGCUGUGCUAGCCACCACUACAAGCAAGGGACUCUAAGUUAGUUCUAAGCAGUAUCUAAUGAUUACUAUAGUUCUGUUGUUUGCUCUGUACGUGUUCCCGCAGCUUUGCCACUUCAGACCUUGACCAAAUGUGGACGUUACAAAUCUUUUAGUCUUGUUUCAGUCCAAGUUCUUACUACCCUCUUCAAACACUAGAAUAAAUCUUUCUAAAAGAGCAGUUCAAGAGACCUUCAGGUAAAACUGAAUUAAAACUCUGGCAACAAAGUGAAGUCAGUUAUCACAGCCUUAUUCUGUACAUUAUUCUGAACAGUAAAUGCUGUACUGUGUUAAACUUACAAAUAAAGGUUUUGGGAUUUUUUUAAU